GCGACCCCCGGUGGUCGGGUGUCUCCGCAGGCCGAACACGCUGCUCGCCCAGCUGCGGAUCAUUACCGCCCUUUUGUUCUCCGUCGCGCGCUCGCCCCACGCUAGGAAUGCAAACUGUAGGCGCCGCCAGCCCCCCCUUCCUGUUUCCCUGGGUGGGAGUGGGAAGGGAGUUUUAAACUGAAUUGUGCUCAGACUCCCAGCCCAGUCUUCCCGGAGCCAUCCGUUCCUUCAUCCAAUGCGGACACCCAUAUCUAAGGUCCUUUUGGCUUUUGGGAGGCGGAGACUGAGACUGGAGUCCAGAGGACCAAGGAGGACGAGUUAGGUUUCCUCAGAGACCCGGGUAAUUGCGGCUGAGCUGUCCGAGGUGCUGACGGCUGGGCGAGAGGAGCGGUUGAAUGUAUGCACAACGCCCAGAGGAAACUCAUCUAUUCCCAUGACUUACAAGAUCAUCCAUAGACAACAGCUCCUAUGCUUAUUUUUUCAGUCCUAUUCUCUCUUCUGAGGCCCAGCCUACUUGACUUGUCAACUUGGAGGUUUAACAGAUCUUUCAAACCCAUUUCUCCCAAGCAGAUGAAGACACUGAGGCAACUUGUUCAAGGUCAAACAACUAGAGUCAUCAAGCCCGAAUUUGAACCUGGAUCUCUCUUUAUCUGCAAAGGUUACACUGCUGAGCACAUUCUAUCUCUCUAUGAGUUGGUACUCUCUUCAAAAUAUCCCUGUCAGUCAGACAUAGUGGUGCAUGCCUGUAUUCCCAGUUAUUCAAGGGGCUGAAGCAGGAGAGUCACUUGGGCCCAGGAAUUCAAGGCUGCAGCAAGCUAUGAUUGUGCCCAUGAAUAGCCAUUGCACUCUAGCCUGAGCAACAUAGCAAGAUGCCAUCUUUAUUUUUACUUUAAAAAUAAAAAUAAGUUUAAAAAUAAAGAAAUAAAAGAAGACCCUUUUCCAUUCUGUAGCUCAUACCCUAAGUCAUAUCUACCAGACUGCUGUGAUACUCACUAAACCAUGCCAACUGCUCUCUCCCCCAAGCUAAAGAGGCCCUGAGCACCAGCCUCAGGAUGUGCCAAGAAAGAAGCUAUCCAUAAGGACAGAGGGAAGCCCCAAAGAGGGCUCAUCAGAGAAAGUCAUGGGGAAGAAGAGCUGUGAAGCCAUCUUAUCUCCUUCCAUCAAAAGCCCCUGUUCUGGCUGGGUGCGGUGGCUCACGCCUGUAAUCCCAGCACUUUGGGAGGCUGAGGCAGGCAGAUCACGAGGUCAGGAGAUCAAGACCAUCCUGGCUAACAUGGUGAAACCCCGCUAACACGGUGAAACCCUGUCUCUACUAAAAAUACAAAAAAAGUAGCCAGGUGUGGUGGCACGUGCCUGUCAUCCCAGCUACUCGGGAGGCUGAGGCAGGAGAAUUGCUUGAACCCGGGAGACGGAGGU
RNAcentral lists this long non-coding RNA (1416 nucleotides) under Homo sapiens (human). RNAcentral describes it as "HSALNT0267042". The record is from RNAcentral. Lineage: Eukaryota; Metazoa; Chordata; Mammalia; Primates; Hominidae.